CUCUGAGGGGAAAGCUCCUCCUAAGGGGACUCUUGCCAGGCGCCGGCUGUUGCUUUGAUGAGCGAGGGCACCACACGCCCAUUUUCCUGAAAAUAUGACCCCAGGGACGCCUGAGAACCACCGUCGGGGUGCAGGGAGAGCACUCUGAAAAGGCAGGCCGCGCCACUCGGCAUGCAGGAUCAUAGUUCCCUGACCAGGGACGGAACCUGUGCCCCUUGCAUUGGGAGCGUGGAGUCUUAACCACUGGAUCGCCAGGGAAGUCCCCAGGUCUACCCUUUAGAUGGCCACACUCUGGCUCUAUUCUGGCCCCUUCCAUCCCACACAGUGAGAAGUCCAUGGGGUCAAGAGGAUGGGCCCACUGGGAGCCCAUGCCCCACUCCUAGACUACAAAUCAGUCGGACUUUGUUCACAUCUCCUAUGCUGAACUCUAUGGAAACUGCUCCGGCCAAGUUCACCAAUGAUCUCCAACUCAGUAAAUCCAAUAGAACUUCUCAGGUUUCAGUUGAACGUCACCUUUCCUGGGAGCCCAGUGGGGCUGAAGAGCUUGAUGCUUACGAGACCGACACUGAAGCCAGGUUCAACCCCCAGCUCUGCCACUUCCUAGCCAUGUAACCUUGGGCAACCUAUUCAACUCUCUGGGCCUUCACUUUCUUAUCUGUUGUGAGGAUUAAAGAAAUCAGUACGUGUAAGGUGCCUUGUAGGCUCCAGGGUGUCACCUCC
Long non-coding RNA from Eubalaena glacialis (North Atlantic right whale), 720 nucleotides. RefSeq lists it as uncharacterized. The transcript has 4 exons. Lineage: Eukaryota; Metazoa; Chordata; Mammalia; Artiodactyla; Balaenidae. The record is from RefSeq and is a predicted model, not a curated record.